UACGUAGGGGGCGAGCGUUGUCCGGAUUUAUUGGGCGUAAAGAGCGCGUAGGCGGCCGGUCACGUCGGGUGUGAAAGCUCAGGGCUCAACCCUGAGACGCCAUUCGAUACGGAUCGGCUAGAGGCAGGUAGGGGAAAGUGGAAUUCCUGGUGUAGCGGUGAAAUGCGCAGAUAUCAGGAGGAACACCGGUGGCGAAGGCGGCUUUCUGGGCCUGUCCUGACGCUGAGGCGCGAAAGCUGGGGGAGCGAACAGG
Molecule: ribosomal RNA, 253 nt
Filed under: uncultured bacterium
Lineage: Bacteria
Description: partial 16S ribosomal RNA
Rfam family: Bacterial small subunit ribosomal RNA
Source: RNAcentral